GUGAGUGGCGAACUGGUGAGUAACACGUGGGAAACCUGCCCAGAAGCGGGGGAUAACACCUGGAAACAGAUGCUAAUACCGCAUAACAACUUGGACCGCAUGGUCCGAGCUUGAAAGAUGGCUUCGGCUAUCACUUUUGGAUGGUCCCGCGGCGUAUUAGCUAGAUGGUGGGGUAACGGCUCACCAUGGCAAUGAUACGUAGCCGACCUGAGAGGGUAAUCGGCCACAUUGGGACUGAGACACGGCCCAAACUCCUACGGGAGGCAGCAGUAGGGAAUCUUCCACAAUGGACGAAAGUCUGAUGGAGCAACGCCGCGUGAGUGAAGAAGGGUUUCGGCUCGUAAAACUCUGUUGUUAAAGAAGAACAUAUCUGAGAGUAACUGUUCAGGUAUUGACGGUAUUUAACCAGAAAGCCACGGCUAACUACGUGCCAGCAGCCGCGGUAAUACGUAGGUGGCAAGCGUUGUCCGGAUUUAUUGGGCGUAAAGCGAGCGCAGGCGGUUUUUUAAGUCUGAUGUGAAAGCCUUCGGCUCAACCGAAGAAGUGCAUCGGAAACUGGGAAACUUGAGUGCAGAAGAGGACAGUGGAACUCCAUGUGUAGCGGUGAAAUGCGUAGAUAUAUGGAAGAACACCAGUGGCGAAGGCGGCUGUCUGGUCUGUAACUGACGCUGAGGCUCGAAAGUAUGGGUAGCAAACAGGAUUAGAUACCCUGGUAGUCCAUACCGUAAACGAUGAAUGCUAAGUGUUGGAGGGUUUCCGCCCUUCAGUGCUGCAGCUAACGCAUUAAGCAUUCCGCCUGGGGAGUACGGCCGCAAGGCUGAAACUCAAAGGAAUUGACGGGGGCCCGCACAAGCGGUGGAGCAUGUGGUUUAAUUCGAAGCUACGCGAAGAACCUUACCAGGUCUUGACAUACUAUGCAAAUCUAAGAGAUUAGACGUUCCCUUCGGGGACAUGGAUACAGGUGGUGCAUGGUUGUCGUCAGCUCGUGUCGUGAGAUGUUGGGUUAAGUCCCGCAACGAGCGCAACCCUUAUUAUCAGUUGCCAGCAUUAAGUUGGGCACUCUGGUGAGACUGCCGGUGACAAACCGGAGGAAGGUGGGGAUGACGUCAAAUCAUCAUGCCCCUUAUGACCUGGGCUACACACGUGCUACAAUGGAUGGUACAACGAGUUGCGAACUCGCGAGAGUAAGCUAAUCUCUUAAAGCCAUUCUCAGUUCGGAUUGUAGGCUGCAACUCGCCUACAUGAAGUCGGAAUCGCUAGUAAUCGGGAUCAGCAUGCCGCGGUGAAUACGUUCCCGGGCCUUGUACACACCGCCCGUCACACCAU
This 1326-nucleotide ribosomal RNA is filed under the name Lactiplantibacillus plantarum subsp. plantarum. Its description in RNAcentral is "bacterial SSU rRNA". It matches the Rfam family "Bacterial small subunit ribosomal RNA", at positions 91 to 1405 of the family's 1533-position model. The record is from RNAcentral. Lineage: Bacteria; Bacillati; Bacillota; Bacilli; Lactobacillales; Lactobacillaceae.